UUCUGGCUCAGGAUGAACGCUAGCUACAGGCUAACACAUGCAAGUCGAGGGGUAACGUGAGGGAAGCUUGCUUCUCUUGACGACGACCGGCGAAUGGGUGAGUAACGCGUAUCCAACCCGCCGCACGCCCGGGAACAGCCCUUGGAAACGAGGAUUAAAUCCCGAUACCUUAUCAUUCCGCAUGGAGUGAUAAGAAAACAGGCAUGCGAUGGGGAUGCGUCUGAUUAGCUUGUUGGCGGGGUAACGGCCCACCAAGGCGACGAUCAGUAGGGGUUCUGAGAGGAAGGUCCCCCACAUUGGAACUGAGACACGGUCCAAACUCCUACGGGAGGCAGCAGUGAGGAAUAUUGGUCAAUGGGCGAGAGCCUGAACCAGCCCAAGUAGCGUGAAGGAUGACUGCCCUACGGGUUGUAAACUUCUUUUGUCCAGGAAUAAAAAAUCCCUCGUGAGGGGUCUUGCAGGUACUGGUUGAAUAAGGACCGGCUAAUUCCGUGCCAGCCGCCGC
RNAcentral lists this ribosomal RNA (505 nucleotides) under uncultured bacterium. Its description in RNAcentral is "bacterial SSU rRNA". It matches the Rfam family "Bacterial small subunit ribosomal RNA", at positions 17 to 518 of the family's 1533-position model. The record is from RNAcentral.